Molecule: long non-coding RNA, 416 nt
Filed under: Carica papaya (papaya)
Lineage: Eukaryota; Viridiplantae; Streptophyta; Magnoliopsida; Brassicales; Caricaceae
Description: long non-coding RNA (CPAP_LNC011410)
Source: RNAcentral
UACAUACCCUGGCCAGAAAUAUGCCGACGUGUCCAGUAAAUUUCUGGCAACACAGGCUUCAACUAUGAGAUGACGCAUGUUUCCAGCUGAAAACAAGGUGACGCAACUAACAUCAGAGGAUGAUGAUAGAGUACUUAUAAAAGAACUAUAUCAUAGAAUAAACUAAAGCUUCAAUUUUAGAUACAAAAAUUCAUCCACCCUCAUGCAAACAGAGCUCCCUCUUGUCUCUUCAUAAUCUCAUCAUUUUCAGACUUUUCUUUUUCAGACAAUGGAGGAGAUACAUCUUUAAGCACCUGGGUUUAAACGCAAGGACUCCAACCAAUGCUUUCAUAGAAAUCCAUAUAUCCAUUUUACAAUUAAUGGUUCCAUGGCAUUCGAAAAUGUUUCUCAAGAAGGUUGGUGCUCAUCGGGGACGA